This 746-nucleotide long non-coding RNA is filed under the name Fukomys damarensis (Damara mole-rat). RNAcentral describes it as "lncRNA (ENSFDAG00000031074.1)". The record is from RNAcentral. Lineage: Eukaryota; Metazoa; Chordata; Mammalia; Rodentia; Bathyergidae.
CUAGGUUCUCAGUUCGAUCCCCGGUACAAAAAAAUAAAUAAAUAAAAAUUUAAAAACUCACCUGCAGCACUUGAAAGUCAACAACCGAAGCAACUCUUUCAAGUCAAUAAUAAUCAAGAGGCCCAAUGAGGAGGGAAAUAUUUGGCACCUUGGUAGAGCUGUUAUUUCAUUCUCACAACGCCGAGGAAGGUGUGACUCACACUCCGCACUUGCUGUAGUACUGUUUUGUAAAAGCUCAGAGGACCCCUCUCGCACUACAGCAGCCGCUCCUAGUUCAGGUCUGUGUCCGCGCCUCCCCACAGCCCCACGCAAAGUCUGGCCUGCAAUUAAGGAGCGUAUGGAAACCACCAAGGCACAGAAACCCGAGAAGAAGCCAAGCCCAGCCAAACCUUCACAGGCCUGUGCGCCCCACAGCGGAAGCCGCGGUCCCAUUCUCACCUCAGCGAGGACCGGAAGUCCGGAAGUCCGGCCGUCCCGGCAGGCCUUGCGAGCCCCGUGUCUGGACUGAACCACAGAGAGGAAGCGUCCUGGGCUCCAUCGUGACAUGGUGGGAAUCCGGGCCUAUUUGGCUCCGCGGAAGAGCCCGCUCACUGAUGCGCGCUUUCCGAAGCAGAGGACUUCAAAACUCUCCGGGUCACUUGCGCCCCAAGCCUGGGUGGCUGCAGACUUUACGUUAUCAGGCGCUUCGGGGUCAAAGGAAAGAGAAUCAAAGGCCUUUAAAACAAAGUCUUUGGGGACAUCUCUAA